AUCGCUUCUCGGCCUUUUGGCUAAGAUCAAGUGUUGAAUUUUGUGGAGUGCCUUGGAAGCUCUGCUGGGGAGCACUAUAUAACAAUUUUGAAACUGGGGUGGAAAACCAUUUUUCAGCCUGAGAGCCACAUUUCCUUCUGGGCAACCCUCC
Molecule: non-coding RNA, 151 nt
Organism: Podarcis lilfordi (Lilford's wall lizard)
Lineage: Eukaryota; Metazoa; Chordata; Lepidosauria; Squamata; Lacertidae
Source: the annotation of a GenBank genome assembly